GCUCUUUUACUUGUACCCAAAAAAAAACAAAAGCAUUUUUAGCGUCAAAAGUGCUUUUUUUUUUUUUCAUUUUGGUACAGGAAAGCUCUAGCUUUUUCCUCAGAGGACUGCAAUCCCGACAAAACAAAAGCGAUUUCAUAUAUAAAGAAAUAUUGGAUUAAGGCUUAGGUGGUUGGCAUAACUGAGGUGGGGCUUAUGUUGAAGCAGCUUCAAAUGUUAUCCCAUUCGCAUCCAUCUUCACCUCUUUAUCUCACAGUUGCCAUCCUUAUGGAGAAAAUGACUGGGCCGCUCUCAACUGGCUCACUGAGGCUGGCUUCCAC
Molecule: long non-coding RNA, 320 nt
Filed under: Durio zibethinus
Lineage: Eukaryota; Viridiplantae; Streptophyta; Magnoliopsida; Malvales; Malvaceae
Description: long non-coding RNA (DZIB_LNC001935)
Source: RNAcentral